Molecule: ribosomal RNA, 3127 nt
Filed under: Saccharomyces paradoxus
Lineage: Eukaryota; Fungi; Ascomycota; Saccharomycetes; Saccharomycetales; Saccharomycetaceae
Description: 21S ribosomal RNA
Rfam family: Bacterial large subunit ribosomal RNA
Source: RNAcentral
GUAAAAAGUAGAAUAAUAGAUUUGAAAUAUUUAUUAUAUAGAUUUAAAGAGAUAAUCAUGGAGUAUAAAUUAUUAAAUAAGAUAAGAUUUAAUAAUAACUAUUAAUAGGAUUAGGUUACUAAUAAAUUAAUAAUAAUUAAUUUAAAAACCUAAAGGUAAACCUUUAUAUUAAUAAUAUAUAUAUUUAUAUUAUUAAUAAUAAUAAGAACUAAGUGAACUGAAACAUCUAAGUAACUUAAGGAAUAUAAAUCAACAGAGAUAUUAUGAGUAUUGGUGAGAGAAAAUAAUAAAGGUCUAAUAAGUAUUAUGUAAGAAGUAUGUAAGAAAAUAGGAUAACAAAUUCUAAGACUAAAUACUAUUAAUAAGUAUAAUAAGUACCGUAAGGGAAAGUAUGAAAAUGAUUAUUUUAUAAGCAAUCAUGGAUAUAAUUUUAAUAUUAAUGAUGUACCUUUUGUAUAAUGGGUCAGCAAGUAAUUAAUAUUAGUAAAACAAUAAAGUUAUAAAUAAAUAGAAAAAGUAUAUAUAUAAAAAAAUAUAUUAAAAUAUUUAAUUAAUAUUAAUUGACCCGAAAGCAAACGAUCUAACUAUGAUAAGAUGGGUAAACGAUCGAACAGGUUGAUGUUGCAAUAUCAUCUGAUUAAUUGUGGUUAGUAGUGAAAGACAAAUCUGGUUUGCAGAUAGCUGGUUUUCUAUGAAAUAUAUGUAAGUAUAGCCUUUAUAAAUAAUAAUUAUUAUAUAAUAUUAAAAUAAUAUUAUAUAAAGAAUGGUACAGCAAUUAAUAUAUAUUAGGGAACUAUAAAAGUUUUAUUAAUAAUAUUAAAUCUCGAAAUGUUUAAUUAUAUAUAAUAAAGAGUCAGAUUAUGUGCGAUAAGGUAAAUAAUCAAAAGGGAAACAGCCCAGAUUAAGAUAUAAAGUUCCUAAUAAAUAAUAAGUGAAAAAAAUAUUAAAAUAUUAUAAUAUAAUCAGUUAAUGGGUUUGACAAUAACCAUUUUUUAAUGAACAUGUAACAAUGCACUGAUUUAUAAAAAUAAAAUAAUAUUUAAAAUCAAAUAUAUAUAUAUAUUUUUGUUAAUAGAUAAUAUACGGAUCUUAAUAAUAAUAAGAAUUAUUUAAUUCCAAAAAUGGAAUAUCAUAUUAAAUUAAUAAAAAAUAUGAAUACUGAAUAUCUAAAUAUUAUUAUUAAUAAUAAAUAAUAAUAAUAAUAUGGUAAUAGAACAUUUAAUGAUAAUAUAUAUUAGUUAUUAAUUAAUAUAUUAAUUAAUUAAAUAGAGAAUGCUGACAUGAGUAACGAAAAAAAGGUAUAAACCUUUUCACCUAAAACAUAAGGUUUAACUAUAAAAGUACGGCCCCUAAUUAAAUAAAUAAGAAUAUAAAUAUAUUUAAGAUGGGAUAAUCUAUAUUAAUAAAAAUAAUCUUAAAAUAUAUAUAUUAUUAUUAUUAAUUUAUUAAUUAAUUAAUUAAUAAUAUAUAUAAUUAUAUUUAUAUAUUAUAUAUAUAUAUAAUAUAAACUAAUAAAGAUCAAGAAAAGUAUUAAUGUAUACCGUAAUGUAGACCGACUCAGGUAUGUAAGUAGAGAAUAUGAAGGUGUAUUAGAGAAUUAAAGGGAAGGAACUCGGCAAAGAUAGCUCAUAAGUUAGUCAAUAAAGAGUAAUAAGAACAAAGUUGUACAACUGUUUACUAAAAACACCGCACUUUGCAGAAACGAUAAGUUUAAGUAUAAGGUGUGAACUCUGCUCCAUGCUUAAUAUAUAAAUUAAAUUAUUUAACGAUAAUUUAAUUAAAUUUAGGUAAAUAGCAGCCUUAUUAUGAGGGUUAUAAUGUAGCGAAAUUCCUUGGCCUAUAAUUGAGGUCCCGCAUGAAUGACGUAAUGAUACAACAACUGUCUCCCCUUUAAACUAAGUGAAAUUGAAAUCGUAGUGAAGAUGCUAUGUACCUUCAGCAAGACGGAAAGACCCUAUGCAGCUUUACUGUAAUUAGAUAGAUCGAAUUAUUGUUUAUUAUAUUCAGCAUAUUAAGUAAUCCUAUAAUUUUAGGUAAUCGUUUAGAUAUUAAUGAGAUACUUAUUAUAAUAUAAUGAUAAUUCUAAUCUUAUAAAUAAUAAUUAAUUAAUUAAUUAAUUAUUAAUACUUAAUAGAUAUAAUUUCUUAAGUAAUAUAUAAUAUAUUAUAUUAUUAUAUGUAUUAUAUAUAUAUAUAUAAGAGACAAUCUCUAAUUGGUAGUUUUGAUGGGGCGUCAUUAUCAGCAAAAGUAUCUGAAUAAGUCCAUAAAUAAAUAUAUAAAAUUAUUGAAUAAGAAUAAUAUAUAUUAUAUAUAUUAAUUAUAAAUUGAAAUAUAUUUAUAUUUUUAAUGAAUAUAUUUUAGUAAUAGAUAAAAAUAUGUACAGUAAAAUUGUAAGGAAAACAAUAAUAACUUUCUAUUUAUUAAUUUAUAAAAAAAGUAUAGAAAGAAUUAGAUUAAUAUAAUGGUAUAACUGUGCGAUAAUUGUAACACAAACGAGUGAAACAAGUACGUAAGUAUGGCAUAAUGAACAAAUAACACUGAUUGUAAAGGUUAUUGAUAACGAAUAAAAGUUACGCUAGGGAUAACAGGGUAAUAUAACGAAAGAGUAGAUAUUGUAAGUUAUGUUUGCCACCUCGAUGUCGACUCAACAUUUCCUCUUGGUUGUAAAAGCUAAGAAGGGUUUGACUGUUCGUCAAUUAAAAUGUUACGUGAGUUGGGUUAAAUACGAUGUGAAUCAGUAUGGUUCCUAUCUGCUGAAGGAAAUAUUAUCAAUUUAAAUCUCAUUAUUAGUACGCAAGGACCAUAAUGAAUCAACCCAUGGUGUAUCUAUUGAUAAUUUAAUAAUAUAUUUAUAAUAAAAAUUUUAUAAUAAAUAUAUUAUCUAUAUUAGUUUAUAUUUUUAUAUAAUUAUCAUAGUAGAUAAGCUAAGUUGAUAAUAAAUAAAUAUUGAAUACAUAUUAAAUAUGAAGUUGUUUUAAUAAGAUAAUUAAUCUGAUAAUUUUAUACUAAAAUUUAAUAAUUAUAGGUUUUAUAUAUUCUUUAUAUAUUAAUAAUAUUUUAUAUAAUAUUAAUAAAAUACUAAUUUAUCAGUUAUCUAUAUAAUAUCUAAUCUAUUAUUCUAUAUACU